CUUCUGUUUCACGUCCGUUUGC
Molecule: non-coding RNA, 22 nt
Filed under: Arabidopsis thaliana (thale cress)
Lineage: Eukaryota; Viridiplantae; Streptophyta; Magnoliopsida; Brassicales; Brassicaceae
Source: RNAcentral